Molecule: ribosomal RNA, 278 nt
Filed under: uncultured Bacteroidales bacterium
Lineage: Bacteria; Pseudomonadati; Bacteroidota; Bacteroidia; Bacteroidales
Description: partial 16S ribosomal RNA
Rfam family: Bacterial small subunit ribosomal RNA
Source: RNAcentral
GCCGCCGCGGUAAUACGGAGGAUGCGAGCGUUAUCCGGAUUUAUUGGGUUUAAAGGGAGCGUAGGUGGUCCGUUAAGCCAGCUGUGAAAUACUGUAGCUCAACUACAGCCGUGCAGUUGGAACUGGCAGACUUGAGUGCACUAGAGGAAGGUGGAAUUCGUGGUGUAGCGGUGAAAUGUUUAGAUAUCACGAAGAACUCCGAUUGCGAAGGCAGCCUUCUGGAGUGUAACUGACACUGAGGCUCGAAAGUGUGGGUAUCGAACAGGAUUAGAUACCCC